AGCGCUAUAGCUUAACGGUAAAGUACUGUGCUACGGACACAAGGUUGUGAGUUCAAAUCUCACUAGCGUAA
Molecule: transfer RNA, 71 nt
Filed under: Nadvornikia sorediata
Lineage: Eukaryota; Fungi; Ascomycota; Lecanoromycetes; Ostropales; Graphidaceae
Description: tRNA-Arg
Rfam family: tRNA
About the family: Transfer RNA (tRNA) molecules are approximately 80 nucleotides in length. Their secondary structure includes four short double-helical elements and three loops (D, anti-codon, and T loops).
Source: RNAcentral